RNAcentral lists this ribosomal RNA (175 nucleotides) under Chondrostereum purpureum. RNAcentral describes it as "5.8S ribosomal RNA". The stretch from base 6 to 159 matches the Rfam family "5.8S ribosomal RNA". From Rfam's summary of the family: 5.8S ribosomal RNA (5.8S rRNA) is a component of the large subunit of the eukaryotic ribosome. The record is from RNAcentral. Lineage: Eukaryota; Fungi; Basidiomycota; Agaricomycetes; Agaricales; Cyphellaceae.
AAUACAACUUUCAACAACGGAUCUCUUGGCUCUCGCAUCGAUGAAGAACGCAGCGAAAUGCGAUAAGUAAUGUGAAUUGCAGAAUUCAGUGAAUCAUCGAAUCUUUGAACGCACCUUGCGCUCCUUGGUAUUCCGAGGAGCAUGCCUGUUUGAGUGUCAUUAAAUUCUCAACCUU